This 253-nucleotide ribosomal RNA is filed under the name uncultured bacterium. RNAcentral's name for it is "partial 16S ribosomal RNA". It matches the Rfam family "Bacterial small subunit ribosomal RNA", at positions 524 to 776 of the family's 1533-position model. The record is from RNAcentral.
UACGUAGGGGGCAAGCGUUAUCCGGAUUUACUGGGUGUAAAGGGUGCGUAGCCGGAAAUGCAAGUCAGAUGUGAAAGCCCGAAGCUCAACUUCGGGAUUGCAUUUGAAACUACAUUUCUAGAGUGCAGGAGAGGAAAGUGGAAUUCCUAGUGUAGCGGUGAAAUGCGUAGAUAUUAGGAGGAACACCAGUGGCGAAGGCGACUUUCGGGACUGUAACUGACGGUGAGGCACGAAAGCGUGGGGAGCAAACAGG